CACGUAGGGGGCAAGCGUUGUCCGGAUUUAUUGGGCGUAAAGAGCUCGUAGGUGGCUGAGUAAGUCGGAUGUUAAAUCCCCAGGCUCAACCUGGGACACCACCCGAUACUGCUCUAGCUAGAGUCCGGUAGGGGAGCAUGGAAUUCCUGGUGUAGCGGUGAAAUGCGCAGAUAUCAGGAGGAACACCAGCGGCGAAGGCGGUGCUCUGGGCCGGAACUGACACUGAGGAGCGAAAGCGUGGGGAGCGAACAGG
Molecule: ribosomal RNA, 253 nt
Filed under: uncultured bacterium
Lineage: Bacteria
Description: partial 16S ribosomal RNA
Rfam family: Bacterial small subunit ribosomal RNA
Source: RNAcentral